This 395-nucleotide ribosomal RNA is filed under the name uncultured bacterium. Its description in RNAcentral is "bacterial SSU rRNA". It matches the Rfam family "Bacterial small subunit ribosomal RNA", at positions 505 to 898 of the family's 1533-position model. The record is from RNAcentral.
GUGCCAGCAGCCGCGGUAAGACGGAGGGGGCUAGCGUUGUCCGGAAUUACUGGGCGUAAAGCGCUCGUAGGCGGUUUGAUACGGCGGUGGUGAAAGCUCUCGGCUCAACUGAGAGAGGCCCGCCGCAACGGUCAGACUUGAGGGUGGUAGAGGCAGAUGGAAUUCCUGGUGUAGCGGUGAAAUGCGUAGAGAUCAGGAGGAACACCCGUGGCGAAGGCGGUCUGCUGGGCCACACCUGACGCUGAGGAGCGAAAGCCAGGGGAGUGAACGGGAUUAGAUACCCCGGUAAUCCUGGCUGUAAACGAUGGAUACUAGGUGUCAGCGGUAUCGACCCCGCUGGUGCCGCAGCUAACGCGUUAAGUAUCCCGCCUGGGGAGUACGGCCGCAAGGUUGAA